UACAGGGGGGGCAAGCGUUGUUCGGAAUUACUGGACGUAAAGGGCUCGUAGGCGGUCAACUAAGUCCGACGUGAAAUCCCAAGGCUUAACUUUGGAACUGCGUCGGAUACUGGAUGGCUUGAAUUCGGGAGAGGGAUGCAGAAUUCCAGGUGUAGCGGUGAAAUGCGUAGAUAUCUGGAGGAAUACCGGUGGCGAAGGCGGCAUCCUGGACCGACAUUGACGCUGAGGAGCGAAAGCUAGGGGAGCAAAAGGG
RNAcentral lists this ribosomal RNA (253 nucleotides) under uncultured bacterium. Its description in RNAcentral is "partial 16S ribosomal RNA". It matches the Rfam family "Bacterial small subunit ribosomal RNA", at positions 524 to 776 of the family's 1533-position model. The record is from RNAcentral.